GAAGGUUGGAAAAGAUGAUAAACAAAGACUGCUAUUAUAAUAAAUUUCCUAGUCUCUACCCACUAAUAUCUUUUACAAUCCCAAUAUCAGGAAAAAAGGAAGAGAAAAUUCUGUAAAUAAUUAUUAUAUUCUUCUCUUAAAGUAAGCCACUGAAUUCAAAAUUCUCUAACACAUUUGUGGAAACUUCAUUUUUCUUGUUUGAGAUUUAUUUGAAUGAGCUGUUAUGAUUGGAGACAGUGAGAAUUUCAGAUUAAUGUUUUGCAGACAAAAAAAAAAAAAACCUCUCUGGAAAGCUGGCAAGUGUUCAUAAGUCAGCCCUAGAAUUAUGUAGGUUGAAGGCUCCCAGUGGACAGACCAAACAUAUAAGAAGGAAACCAGAGAUCUGGUGCUAUUACGUCCCAGCGUCUGAGAGAACAAGUAAGCACAGAAUUCAAAGCAUUCUGCAGCCUGAAUUUUUAAGGAGUACAUUUAGGCACUAAGCAAGCUGAUUUAUGAUAACUGCUUUAAACUUCAACAAGCAAAGGCAUAAGCAUUA
Callithrix jacchus (white-tufted-ear marmoset) is the source of this 535-nucleotide long non-coding RNA. The record is from Ensembl. NCBI's taxonomy places the organism in Eukaryota, Metazoa, Chordata, Mammalia, Primates, Cebidae.